This is a long non-coding RNA of Talpa occidentalis (Iberian mole), 253 nucleotides long. RefSeq lists it as uncharacterized. Lineage: Eukaryota; Metazoa; Chordata; Mammalia; Eulipotyphla; Talpidae. The record is from RefSeq and is a predicted model, not a curated record. The transcript has 3 exons.
GUCCUGUUUGCAUUGGGCACAUGGAGGAAGAUAACGCAUGGAAUAUAGAGUUUAUUUUCAUUCCUUUGCAGAGCUCACCUGGAUCAAGUCUGACCAAGGAAUGGAUGGAAGGUCAGCGAUGUGAUUUCAGGAUCUUCCUUCCUUCCCAGGAGACAGCACCAGAGAUUCCAGGUGAAAUGGCUUUGGAGGCUUCUCCUAUUGCAGAACCAAUACACAAAAUCAGAGCGGAAUAGGAUCACCCCCUGCCUCUCAU